RNAcentral lists this ribosomal RNA (494 nucleotides) under uncultured bacterium. RNAcentral describes it as "partial 16S ribosomal RNA". It matches the Rfam family "Bacterial small subunit ribosomal RNA", at positions 28 to 507 of the family's 1533-position model. The record is from RNAcentral.
GACGAACGCUGGCGGCGUGCUUAACACAUGCAAGUCGAACGGUGAAGCGCCUUCCUUUUUGGUGGGUGUGGAUGAGUGGCGAACGGGUGAGUAACACGUGAGUAACCUGCCCCCUUCUUCUGGAUAACCGCAUGAAAGUGUGGCUAAUACGGGAUAUUCUGGGUCUGUCGCAUGAUGGGUCUGGGAAAGAUAUUGUUUCGGUGGGGGAUGGGCUCGCGGCCUAUCAGCUUGUUGGUGGGGUGAUGGCCUACCAAGGCGGUGACGGGUAGCCGGCCUGAGAGGGUGGACGGUCACACUGGGAAUGAGACACGGCCCAGACUCCGACGGGAGGCAGCAGGGGGGAAUAUGGCACAAUGGGCGGAAGCAUGAUGCAGCGACGCCGCGGGAGGGAUGGAGGCCUUCGGGUUGUGAACCUCUUUCGCCAGUGAAGCAGGCCUGCCUCGUUUGUGGGUGGGUUGACGGUAGCUGGAUAAGAAGCGCCGGCUAACUACGUG